RNAcentral lists this ribosomal RNA (120 nucleotides) under Colletotrichum graminicola M1.001. Lineage: Eukaryota; Fungi; Ascomycota; Sordariomycetes; Glomerellales; Glomerellaceae. The record is from RNAcentral.
ACAUACGACCAUACCCACUGGAGAACUCGGGAUCCCGUCCGCUCUCCCAUAGAUAAGCCAGUGAGGGCCGGAUUAGUAGUUGGGUCGGUGACGACCAGCGAAUACCCGGUGUUGUAUGUU